Molecule: ribosomal RNA, 496 nt
Filed under: uncultured bacterium
Lineage: Bacteria
Description: partial 16S ribosomal RNA
Rfam family: Bacterial small subunit ribosomal RNA
Source: RNAcentral
GAUGAACGCUGGCGGCGUGCCUAAUACAUGCGAGUCGAGCGAACGGACGAGAAGCUUGCUUCUCUGAUGUUAGCGGCGGACGGGUGAGUAACACGUGGAUAACCUACCUAUAAGACUGGGAUAACUUCGGGAAACCGGAGCUAAUACCGGAUAAUAUUUUGAACCGCAUGGUUCAAAAGUGAAAGACGGUCUUGCUGUCACUUAUAGAUGGAUCCGCGCUGCAUUAGCUAGUUGGUAAGGUAACGGCUUACCAAGGCAACGAUGCAUAGCCGACCUGAGAGGGUGAUCGGCCACACUGGAACUGAGCCACGGUCCAGACUCCUACGGGAGGCAGCAGUAGGAAUCUUCCGCAAUGGGCGAAAGCCUGACGGAGCAACGCCGCGUGAGUGAUGAAGGUCUUCGGAUCGUAAAACUCUGUUAUUAGGGAAGAACAUAUGUGUAAGUAACUGUGCACAUCUUGACGGUACCUAAUCAGAAAGCCACGGCUAACUACGUG